AAUGGGAAUAGCGCUAUAAAAACAUCUGUGCUGAGCAAGCACAAUGCCUUAAGUUUUAUCUGAAAUUCAGAUUGGAUGAGGGGUUUUGGGCUUAUGGUGGUGAUACUCAUUCAAGCACAUCUGUUGUACAUUUUCUGGCAGUUUCUGAGAUUUAUAUCCUGGAAGAUACUGCCCCAGGCACAGUCAUUUACCGAGCAGCAGCCAACGACCCAGAGGAUGCUGUUUUGGAGUACUUCAUUUCCCCGGAGGGCUCUGGCUUUACAAUCAACAGCAUUGGAACAAUUUCCACAGCAGCAGUUUUUGAUUUUGAAAGUGGAUCUAGAAGGGGCCAUGAAAUCACUUGUUCAAAUCCUGAUGAAAGUGUUAGAAAGGCUCAUUGCUUUCUUCCUUCCUUGCUGUCAUCAACCCUCCAGCAUUCAGCUAGACCACAGGUAACUUGAAUUCUUUAAUGCUGCGGAUCUCGUCCACAUCUUAUUCCUUCUAUUCUUGUAGUGAAGGCUUCCCAGAAUUAUUAUUUAUUUAUUUAUUUAUUUAUUUGAGAUGGAAUCUCGCUCUGUUGCCCAGGCUGGAGUGUGGUGGCGCAAUCUCGGCUCACUGCAAGCUCCACCUCCCGGAUUCAUGCCAUUCUCCUGCCUCAGCCUCCUGAGUAGCUGGGACUACAGGUGCCCACCACCACGCCCAGCUAACUUUGUGUGUGUGUGUGUGUGUGUGUGUGUGUGUGUAAUUUUUAGUAGAGACAGGGUUUCACUGUAUUAGCCAGGAUGGUCUCAAUCUCCUGACC
RNAcentral lists this long non-coding RNA (781 nucleotides) under Macaca nemestrina (pig-tailed macaque). RNAcentral describes it as "lncRNA (ENSMNEG00000045902.1)". Lineage: Eukaryota; Metazoa; Chordata; Mammalia; Primates; Cercopithecidae. The record is from RNAcentral.